Molecule: long non-coding RNA, 217 nt
Filed under: Elaeis guineensis (African oil palm)
Lineage: Eukaryota; Viridiplantae; Streptophyta; Magnoliopsida; Arecales; Arecaceae
Description: long non-coding RNA (EGUI_LNC073456)
Source: RNAcentral
CCUUGGGGAUUUCCUACCCGUUGGGGGGACCUCCGAACCCAACCAAACGAGAACAGUCGGGUGGAGGCUGGAGACUGGGAAGACUUCCACCAUCUGAAGGACAUCUCGGUGCCGAAGCAGAAGGAGCUCGUCACCGAGCAGGCCCUGUACCAUACCGGUCUCAGCUCGGUGCCCCGCCUAGGUCUGUGUCUUUGCUGUUGUUGUUGUUUUUUUUUUU